CCUACGGGAGGCAGCAGUGAGGAAUAUUGGGCAAUGGACGAGAGUCUGAACCAGCCAAGUAGCGUGAAGGAUGACUGCCCUAUGGGUUGUAAACUUCUUUUAUAAAGGAAUAAAACGAGGCACGUGUGCCGUUUUGCAUGUACUUUAUGAAUAAGGAUCGGCUAACUCCGUGCCAGCAGCCGCGGUAAUACGGAGGAUCCGAGCGUUAUCCGGAUUUAUUGGGUUUAAAGGGAGCGUAGAUGGGUUGUUAAGUCAGUUGUGAAAGUUUGCGGCUCAACCGUAAAAUUGCAAUUGAUACUGGCAGUCUUGAGUACAGUUGAGGUAGGCGGAAUUCGUGGUGUAGCGGUGAAAUGCUUAGAUAUCACGAAGAACCCCGAUUGCGAAGGCAGCUUACUAAACUGUGACUGACAUUGAUGCUCGAAAGUGUGGGUAUCAAACAGGAUUAGAUACCCCGGUAGUC
This 460-nucleotide ribosomal RNA is filed under the name uncultured bacterium. Its description in RNAcentral is "partial 16S ribosomal RNA". It matches the Rfam family "Bacterial small subunit ribosomal RNA", at positions 338 to 795 of the family's 1533-position model. The record is from RNAcentral.